Paramuricea clavata is the source of this 1642-nucleotide non-coding RNA. The record is from the annotation of a GenBank genome assembly. NCBI's taxonomy places the organism in Eukaryota, Metazoa, Cnidaria, Anthozoa, Malacalcyonacea, Plexauridae.
AGGAAGUUGCUCAGGCAACCGUAACAUCUCUUCUUCCAAUCAAACUUCCCGUCAGUUCAUCACUCGUGAGUAACUAUGUACUAGUUGCCGAUAGCAACAAGAAUUUACAUGUUUUACAAAACGGAACUGUUGUCCGCUCCUUGGAGAUGUCGUCAAUUGUCAACACAAUGUGUGCGGGGUAUUUUCUUGAGGGCCUGGAUUCUAGUACCCCAGUAUCACCACACUCUACUGUAACAACCCAAACAGGUUUGCCACACCAAGUUGCGUUAGGAAUGGAAGAUGGUAGGAUUUUCAUUUUAAAUAAUUUUAAUUUAACAUUAUACACCAACAUUAAGUUGACUAUUACAAAGAUGGCCGCCUGUUCCCUGGGCAAAACUAUGGACACUUUAUUGUGUUGUGGAUACUUUAAUUCAAUGUUGAUCUACCAUAACGGCGUGCUGAUGCGUAAAGUUGCAACGAAUGACUGGGUGAAUUCUAUCGAAGUUAUGCCGAGUAAGGGUAAACAUGAACACUGUGUAUAUUUAGGGACAUUGGAUGGUAUUAUCCAAUCCUAUGGUCUUAGUAUGUUAUCAAAGUGAUAAGUUACACAGUUUUAAUAAAUGAGUCAAUGUAUAUUUCUACUGCCAAUUUUUAGAAAAGAUCCCCUUCAACUUGGGAAAAAUCCUAAAAGUUGAAGUUCAUGAUACAGUAUGUACUGAGAAAGAGUCUAAGCUGAAGCUGUACACCAAUUUACAGUAAUUUAACUACCUCCUCUGCAGGCGCUUAGGGAGCAUUUUGGGCAGUUUCAGAAAAUACCUUUGUCUUUCACUUACAUUUCUAAAUAUCACCGCCCGCAAAUUUUCCCGCAGAAAGAAAAUUUUGUAAAAUGUGAUUGGCCGGCACAAAUUUUCCGUUGGAAAAAAAUUUUGAAGUUGAAAAUUUUCAACUUUUAACAAUGACAUUUUUGGAAAAUUUUCUGUCCGUGGAAACUUUUCUUUGGUGGAAAUGGGCCUUUACAUAUGCGAACUUUCAGAACGUGACUCACUUGAUAUCGGUACAGUAUUUGUUAAUUGUGAUAUUUGGAACAUCAAUAACUUACAAUGAUUUACGAUGCAAAUUUAUUAUUGAAAUGAAAAGUUAAUGCUGAAAUGUUAAAAAAGCAAAUUAAAUGUAACAUGACAUGUGUCUGGGUAAUAAAAUGCAUUCAUUUAUGAUUUAAAUGUUAAACCCAAAAUAAAUUUCGUAUGAAGCGUGGUAUACAGACAAGAUUGUUAUCCGGUUAAAAAUCAUAAAAAACAAACUGUUUUAUCAUUAGAUUUGUCCAAACUGUAGGAGGAAAUCUAACCUUGAUCUUGAUGUGAAGAAGAAAGCUUGGGAUUGAUAGGGGGGGAUACAACUACCGGAAAAAUACAACAAGAGGUUGUCCUUUCUUCUUUUGAAGUUCUCCUUGUAUUUUUCAGGUAAAGUUGUAUCCAAUCCGAAGCUUUCUUAUUCUUGCCUUAUUGCCAUACCUACACUGUCAUAUCCCGUUCUAGAUAAUAAAAAAAGAAAACAGUUUGCUAAAAUCUUAAGCCCAUAUCAUUUUUUUAUUAGAGUGUUUCUUCAGACAUGUUAUUUGGACACUUAAAAUUUAGACUACACAACUUUUGCCUAGAAUUGUCGC